CCUACGGGCGGCAGCAGUGGGGGAUAUUGCACAAUGGGGGGAACUCUGAUGCAGCGACGCCGCGUGGGUGAAGGAGCGUUUCGGCGCGUAAAGCCCUAUCGGCAGGGAUGAAGGCGGACGGUACCUGACUAAGACGCCCCGGCUAACUACGUGCCAGCAGCCGCGGUACUACGUAGGGGGCAAGCGUUAUCCGGAUGUACUGGGUGUAAAGGGGGCGCAGACGGCGGUGCAAGACAGGAGUGAAAGCCCGGGGCUCAACCCCGGGACUGCUCUGGGAACUGCGCGGCGUGAGUGCAGGAGGGGCAAGUGGAAUUCCUGGUGUAGCGGUGGAAUGCGUAGAUAUCAGGAGGAACACCAGUGGCGAAGGCGGCCUGCUGGACUGCGACUGACGUUGAGGCCCGAAAGCGUGGGGAGCAAACAGGAUUAGAUACCCUUGUAGUC
This 441-nucleotide ribosomal RNA is filed under the name uncultured bacterium. RNAcentral's name for it is "partial 16S ribosomal RNA". It matches the Rfam family "Bacterial small subunit ribosomal RNA", at positions 338 to 795 of the family's 1533-position model. The record is from RNAcentral.